GGAUGGGUGGCAGAGCGGUCGAUUGCGACGGUCUUGAAAACCGUUGAAGCAGCAAUGCUUCCGGGGGUUCGAAUCCCUCCCCAUCCGCCA
Molecule: transfer RNA, 90 nt
Filed under: Alphaproteobacteria bacterium
Lineage: Bacteria; Pseudomonadati; Pseudomonadota; Alphaproteobacteria
Description: tRNA-Ser
Rfam family: tRNA
About the family: Transfer RNA (tRNA) molecules are approximately 80 nucleotides in length. Their secondary structure includes four short double-helical elements and three loops (D, anti-codon, and T loops).
Source: RNAcentral